UACGGAGGAUCCAAGCGUUAUCCGGAUUUAUUGGGCUUAAAGGGUGCGUAGGCGGCUUAUUAAGUCAGGGGUGAAAGACGGUGGCUCAACCAUCGCAGUGCCCUUGAUACUGAUGAGCUUGAAUACACUUGAGGUAGGCGGAAUGUGACAAGUAGCGGUGAAAUGCAUAGAUAUGUCACAGAACACCAAUUGCGAAGGCAGCUUACUAAGGUGCAAUUGACGCUGAGGCACGAAAGCGUGGGGAUCAAACAGG
This 253-nucleotide ribosomal RNA is filed under the name uncultured bacterium. Its description in RNAcentral is "partial 16S ribosomal RNA". It matches the Rfam family "Bacterial small subunit ribosomal RNA", at positions 524 to 776 of the family's 1533-position model. The record is from RNAcentral.